ACCUGUGUGGUGUAGUGGUUUGAAUAUUGGACCAAGACUCUGGAGACCAGGAUUCAAAUCCUGCUCAGCCA
This 71-nucleotide transfer RNA is filed under the name Phrynosoma platyrhinos (Desert horned lizard). RNAcentral's name for it is "tRNA-OTHER". The record is from RNAcentral. Lineage: Eukaryota; Metazoa; Chordata; Lepidosauria; Squamata; Phrynosomatidae.